This 1988-nucleotide long non-coding RNA is filed under the name Salmo salar (Atlantic salmon). RNAcentral describes it as "lncRNA (ENSSSAG00000102879.1)". Lineage: Eukaryota; Metazoa; Chordata; Actinopteri; Salmoniformes; Salmonidae. The record is from RNAcentral.
AUGUUAUCAUCAUCAUCAUUAUUAUUAUCAUCAUCAUCAUCACCAUCAUCGUAAUCAUCAUCACCACCAUCAUCAUCAUCAUUAACAUUAUCAGCAUCAUCAUCAAUGUUAUCCUAAUUAUCAUCAUCAUCAUCAUCAUCCAGGCUGUAUCACAUCCGGCCGUGAUUGGGAGUCCCAUAGCACGGCGCAUAAUUGGCCCACAAUUGGCCCAGCGUCGUCCGGGUUUGGACCAAGUAGGCCGUCAUUGUAAAUAAGGAUUUGUUCUUAACUGACUUGCCUAGUUAAAAAAAGGUUCAAUAAAAAACAUAUCAUCAUCAUUAUCAUCCUCCUUCUCCUCCUCAUCUUCGCCAUCAUCAUCAACAUUAUUAACAUCAUCAGUUUGAAACUGAGAACAAUGUUGGUCAGUCAAUAUCAGUCUGACUGUAAUAUAACAAUCUUGUUCUAUAGGACCGUCCUAAAUGAACUACACAGCAAUCCAUUAGGAUGACAGGCAGACAGCACUUUGAUGGUUGAUUAGCUCUGGUGGCAUCAGUCCUACGUGACGCUGUAGUCCCUCGAACGAUGACAGCAAAGCCGACCUAAGACAAUGAGCUGGACAGUUUCAGUAAAAGCUCACCGAAACAGCUUCAACUUCAGUUAAUUCAUUCCAGCUUUCAGGGGCUGGUUGGGAUCUAAUGUGUCUGUGGUGUGUGUGUGUGUGUGUUUUCUGCGUGCGCGUGCAUGAAUGCAUACUCAUUCCUGUGUGCUUGCUUGUGUACGUGCAUACAUGCCUCUGCAAUCAAUGUAUGUGAUGUGAUGUGUGUAUCCUUCUAUGUUAGGUCAGUGCGUAUUCAAAUGUCCCUUUCUCCAGCCCCUCUAUCCCGUCAGACCAGUUGGAGGAGGGCAUGCUACUGUAGGGGUCGAGAAGGAUCCUGAAACACCGGACUAUGAGCAGGCCCAGGACCAGCAGCAACAUCCCUAUGAAGGCAAAUGCUGCCUUCUGCUCCGACAGGAUCAAGGAGUUGAGAAGCAUUUCACUGUCACUCAUAGCAGUCGGGGAGUGGUUAUAGUGGAGGCUACACAUGGGUGGUGUUCACUAGCACCAAACUGAAGAAAACAGACUGAAACAGGACUUGGACUUGUCCAAUUAGAAACGCUUGUUUUUGAUUGCCAUUUUGCUACAGUGUACACUAAUGAAUAUGACCCUGGUGAACACACACUCAUAGCAGGAAGCUAGCUUCACAUGGUGAACACACGCCCAGACGGGGAGAAGCCUGCAUGCUACCUGGAGAGAGAGAGAGAGAGAGAGAGACUGAGAGAGAGUGACAGAGACAGACACAGAGAGAGAGACAUAGAGAGAGAGAGAGACAUAGAGAGAGACAGAGACAGAGAGAGAGAGAGAGAGAGAGAGAGUGACAGAGAGACAUAGAGAGAGACAUAGAGACAGAGGAAGAGAGACAUAGAGAGAGAGACAGAGAGAGACAUAGAGAGAGACAUAGAAAGAGACAUAGAGAGACAGAGGAAGAGACAUAGAGAGAGAGAGAGAGAACAUAGAGAGAGAGACAGAGAGAGAGAGACAGAGAGAGAGAGACAUAGAGAGAGAGAGACAUAGAGAGAGAGAGACAGAGAGAGAGAGACAUAGAGAGAGAGACAUAGAGAGAGAGAGAGACAUAGAGAGAGAGAGAGACAUAGAGAGAGAGACAGAGAGAGAGAGACAUAGAGAGAGAGAGAGAGAGACAUAGAGAGAGAGAGAGACAUAGAGAGAGAGAGAGAGAGAGAGACAGAGACAGAGACAUAGAGAGAGAGACAUAGGAAGAGACAGAGAGAGAGACAGAGGAAGAGAGGGGGUUGGUGCUGUGUUGGAGUCAUUUACCUUAGAUUGUUCACUGUAUAUCUGCAUGUUUUGUCAUAAAAGGAUCCCAUUAGGAGAUUAAAUUCCUGUACUGUUUAUCAUUUACUAUAACAUACAAUUUAAUAUAAAUAAUUUACUUUGGGAACUGUACGUAUCG